GGUUGUACCAUGAUCAUUACAACUCACAAUUGACUAUUGAACAAAAUAUUGAAGGCCGCCCACUGGGAAUUAUUGCGAAUCACUGGAGAUGGUACCUUGAUUAUCGCAACAGUGAAGACACAAAAAAAAAGUGUAGGAAAAAUGCUGUGAAUUAAUCGAAGCAGCUAUACACUCACACUGGCAGAUUGAAAAGCUUGGCAAGGCUUGGAGAAGAAGAGUCGGAAUGACAAGGGAGGAGAGUUUGUAGAGGAGAGUUAUGGACCUUAACGAAAAAAUGACCUAAUGGUUCCUAUAUCCAUUAUGUAGCUCGGGCUAUUGGUGUAAAU
Arachis ipaensis is the source of this 326-nucleotide non-coding RNA. NCBI's taxonomy places the organism in Eukaryota, Viridiplantae, Streptophyta, Magnoliopsida, Fabales, Fabaceae. The record is from RefSeq and is a predicted model, not a curated record.